CCUACGGGGUGCAGCAGUGAGGAAUAUUGGUCAAUGGGCGAGAGCCUGACCCAGCCAAGUCGCGUGAGGGAAGACGGUCCUACGGAUUGUAAACCUCUUUUGUCAGGGAGCAGGGAGCGCCACGAGUGGUGCGGCGAGAGUACCUGAAGAAAAAGCAUCGACUAACUCCGUGCCGGCAGCCGCGGUAAUACGGAGGAUGCGAGCGUUGUCCGGAUUGAUUGGGUGUAACGGGUGCGCAGGCGGAAGCGGAAAGUCAGCGGUAAAAUGGCGGGGCUCAACCUCGCCGAGCCGUGGAAACUGCUCUUCUAGAGUGUGCGAGAAGUAUGCGGAAGGCGUGGUGUAGCGGUGAAAUGCAUAGAGAUCACGCAGAACUACGAUUGCGAAGGCAGUAUACCGGCGCCCAACUGACGCUCAUGCACGAAAGCGUGGGUAUCGAACAGGAUUAGAUACCCCUGUAGUC
RNAcentral lists this ribosomal RNA (460 nucleotides) under uncultured bacterium. RNAcentral's name for it is "partial 16S ribosomal RNA". It matches the Rfam family "Bacterial small subunit ribosomal RNA", at positions 338 to 795 of the family's 1533-position model. The record is from RNAcentral.